This 453-nucleotide ribosomal RNA is filed under the name uncultured organism. RNAcentral's name for it is "bacterial SSU rRNA". It matches the Rfam family "Archaeal small subunit ribosomal RNA", at positions 368 to 822 of the family's 1478-position model. The record is from RNAcentral.
CGAUAAGGGAACCCCCAGUGCCAGCAUCAAAUGUUGGCUGUCCAGAUGAUUAAAAAUCAUUUGUUAGCAAGGGCCGGGCAAGACCGGUGCCAACCGCCGCGGUAACACCGGCGUCCCGAGUGGUAGCCGUUUUUAUUGGGUCUAAAGGGUCCGUAGCCGGCUUGAUAAGUCCUUUGGGAAAUCUGGCAGCUUAACUGUCAGGCUUUUAAGGGAUACUGUCAGGCUUGGGACCGGAAGAGGUAAGGGGUACUCCAGGGGUAGGAGUGAAAUCUUGUAAUCCCUGGGGGACCAUCUGUGGCGAAGGCGCCUUACCAGAACGGGUCCGACGGUGAGGGACGAAAGCUAGGGGAGCAAACCGGAUUAGAUACCCGGGUAGUCCUAGCUGUAAACGAUGCUCGCUAGGUGUCAGACACGGUGCGACCGUGUUUGGUGCCGCAGGGAAGCCGUAAGCAG